Molecule: ribosomal RNA, 412 nt
Filed under: uncultured bacterium
Lineage: Bacteria
Description: bacterial SSU rRNA
Rfam family: Bacterial small subunit ribosomal RNA
Source: RNAcentral
AAUCAACGCUGGCGGCGUGCCUAACACAUGCAAGUCGAACGCGACUGGGGCUUCGGCCUCAGUUGAGUGGCGAACGGGUGAGUAACACGUGGGUGACCUACCUUCGAAUGGGGGAUAACGUCCCGAAGGGACGCUAAUACCGCAUAACAUCCUGCCUUUGAACAGGCGGAGAUCAAAGCCGGGGAUCGCAAGACCUGGCGUUUGAAGAGGGGCCCGCGUCCGAUUAGCUAGUUGGUGAGGUAACGGCUCACCAAGGCGACGAUCGGUAGCCGGCCUGAGAGGGCGGACGGCCACACUGGCACUGCGACACGGGCCAGACUCCUACGGGAGGCAGCAGUGAGGAAUAUUGCGCAAUGGGCGAAAGCCUGACGCAGCGACGCCGCGUGGGGGAUGAAGGUCUUCGGAUUGUAAA